RNAcentral lists this ribosomal RNA (460 nucleotides) under uncultured bacterium. RNAcentral describes it as "partial 16S ribosomal RNA". It matches the Rfam family "Bacterial small subunit ribosomal RNA", at positions 338 to 795 of the family's 1533-position model. The record is from RNAcentral.
CCUACGGGAGGUAGCAGUGAGGAAUAUUGGUCAAUGGACGAGAGUCUGAACCAGCCAAGUAGCGUGAAGGAUGACUGCCCUAUGGGUUGUAAACUUCUUUUAUAUGGGAAUAAAAUGUUCCACGUGUGGGUUUUUGUAUGUACCAUAUGAAUAAGGAUCGGCUAACUCCGUGCCAGCAGCCGCGGUAAUACGGAGGAUCCGAGCGUUAUCCGGAUUUAUUGGGUUUAAAGGGAGCGUAGGUGGAUUGUUAAGUCAGUUGUGAAAGUUUGCGGCUCAACCGUAAAAUUGCAGUUGAAACUGGCAGUCUUGAGUACAGUAGAGGUGGGCGGAAUUCGUGGUGUAGCGGUGAAAUGCUUAGAUAUCACGAAGAACUCCGAUUGCGAAGGCAGCUCACUGGCCUGCAACUGACACUGAGGCUCGAAAGUGUGGGUAUCAAACAGGAUUAGAUACCCCUGUAGUC